RNAcentral lists this ribosomal RNA (133 nucleotides) under uncultured bacterium. RNAcentral describes it as "partial 16S ribosomal RNA". The record is from RNAcentral.
GACACGGAGUUAGCCGGUGCUUAUUCAUAUAAUACCGUCAUUAUCUUCUUAUAUAAAAGGAGUUUACGCACCGAAAUGUGUCAUCCUCCACGCGGCGUUGCUGCAUCAGGCUUUCGCCCAUUGUGCAAUAUUC